GACGAACGCUGGCGGCGUGCUUAACACAUGCAAGUCGAACGGAAAGGCCCAGCUGUCGUGGGGGGCUCGAGAGGCGAUGGGGUGAGUAACAAGUGAGUAACCUGCCGUGGACUAUGGGAUAAAUUCAGGAAACUGGGGCUAAUACCGGAUAGGAGCUCCUGCUGAAUGGUGGGGGUGGGAAAGUUUCGGCGGUUGGGGAGGGACUCGCGGCUUAUCAGCUUGUUGUUGGGGUAGUGGCUUACCAAGGCUUUGACGGGUAGCCGGCCUGAGAGGGUGACCGGCCACAUUGGGACUGGGAUACGGCCCAGACUCCUACGGGAGGCAGCAGUGGGGAAUAUUGCACAAUGGGCGGAAGCCUGAUGCAGCAACGCCGCGUGCGGGUUAACGGCCUUCGGUUUGUAAACCGCUUUCGCCUGUGACGAAGCGUGAGUGACGGUAAUGGGUAAAGAAGCACCGGCUAACUACGUG
RNAcentral lists this ribosomal RNA (468 nucleotides) under uncultured bacterium. RNAcentral's name for it is "partial 16S ribosomal RNA". It matches the Rfam family "Bacterial small subunit ribosomal RNA", at positions 28 to 507 of the family's 1533-position model. The record is from RNAcentral.